GACGAACGCUGGCGGCGUGCCUAAUACAUGCAAGUUGAGCGCUGAAGGUUGGUACUUGUACCAACUGGAUGAGCAGCGAACGGGUGAGUAACGCGUGGGGAAUCUGCCUUUGAGCGGGGGACAACAUUUGGAAACGAAUGCUAAUACCGCAUAAAAACUUUAAACACAAGUUUUAAGUUUGAAAGAUGCAAUUGCAUCACUCAAAGAUGAUCCCGCGUUGUAUUAGCUAGUUGGUGAGGUAAAGGCUCACCAAGGCGAUGAUACAUAGCCGACCUGAGAGGGUGAUCGGCCACAUUGGGACUGAGACACGGCCCCAGCUCCUACGGGAGGCAGCAGUAGGGAAUCUUCGGCAAUGGACGUCAGUCUGACCGAGCAACGCCGCGUGAGUGCAGAAGGUUUUCGGAUCGUAAAACUCUGUUGGUAGAGAAGAACGUUGGUGAGAGUGGAAAGCUCAUCAAGUGACGGUAACUACCCAGAAAGGGACGGCUAACUACGUG
Molecule: ribosomal RNA, 497 nt
Filed under: uncultured bacterium
Lineage: Bacteria
Description: partial 16S ribosomal RNA
Rfam family: Bacterial small subunit ribosomal RNA
Source: RNAcentral